UUCCUUUGUUGUUUUAACUCUAAGACUUAUGCUUCUAUGGUCUCUUAUGUCUUAAGAUUAUAAGACAUCACAACUUCCAACACUAUAGAUAUUUUGAAGUCUUGGCCAAUCACAAGAAAGUAUGCUAAUUGCCUUUAAGUCCUUGCUUCCAUGAUUUCUUACUUUCUCAAUUCUUACCCAACUAACUUUCCUUUUCUUUCAAAUUACUCCAUAGAGCAUAUAAUUAACCUAGGCUAAAACUCCUAAUCACACUUAGCAAUUGCACUAAUCACCCUUAAACCUUACUUACCUAUUCCAUACCAAUCUUUAUCACACUUAAAAUCCAACAAGUAAACACUUCCAUGUCACACCUAGAAUUAGGGUAUAAUUCCAACUUAAUCAUUCUAAUUCACCACUUAACUAGAGUUUUUCCUUGAUUAGGGUUUUCUACCCUUUUAAACCCACUUAACCCUGUAUAAUACUAUACAAAAACAUACAUACACCUAUCUAAUACACAUCCAAACAUUCAAUUGCCUUAGAAUUGACUAACCAGGGUUUCGCUUAAAAAUUUUCAAUUUUUGCACAAUUAGGGUUUCUCA
RNAcentral lists this long non-coding RNA (578 nucleotides) under Coffea arabica (coffee). Its description in RNAcentral is "long non-coding RNA (CARA_LNC005587)". Lineage: Eukaryota; Viridiplantae; Streptophyta; Magnoliopsida; Gentianales; Rubiaceae. The record is from RNAcentral.